UACGGGGGGGGCAAGCGUUGUUCGGAAUUACUGGGCGUAAAGGGCUCGUAGGCGGCCAACUAAGUCAUACGUGAAAUCCCCCGGCUUAACCGGGGAACUGCGUCUGAUACUGGAUGGCUUGAGUUCGGGAGAGGGAUGCGGAAUUCCAGGUGUAGCGGUGAAAUGCGUAGAUAUCUGGAGGAACACCGGUGGCGAAGGCGGCAUCCGGGACCGAUACUGACGCUGAGGAGCGAAAGCCAGGGGAGCAAACGGG
Molecule: ribosomal RNA, 253 nt
Filed under: uncultured bacterium
Lineage: Bacteria
Description: partial 16S ribosomal RNA
Rfam family: Bacterial small subunit ribosomal RNA
Source: RNAcentral